UACGAAGGGGGCUAGCGUUGCUCGGAAUUACUGGGCGUAAAGCGCGCGCAGGUGGUCUUUCAAGUCAGUGGUGAAAGCCCGGAGCUCAACUCCGGAAAUGCCAUUGAAACUGUAAGACUUGAGGAUGAGAGAGGUGAGUGGAAUUCCCAGUGUAGAGGUGAAAUUCGUAGAUAUUGGGAAGAACACCGGUGGCGAAGGCGGCUCACUGGCUCAUAUCUGACGCUCAGGCGCGACAGCGUGGGGAUCAAACAGG
RNAcentral lists this ribosomal RNA (253 nucleotides) under uncultured bacterium. RNAcentral's name for it is "partial 16S ribosomal RNA". It matches the Rfam family "Bacterial small subunit ribosomal RNA", at positions 524 to 776 of the family's 1533-position model. The record is from RNAcentral.